Hippoglossus stenolepis (Pacific halibut) is the source of this 1171-nucleotide long non-coding RNA. RefSeq lists it as uncharacterized. The record is from RefSeq and is a predicted model, not a curated record. The transcript is spliced from 3 exons. NCBI's taxonomy places the organism in Eukaryota, Metazoa, Chordata, Actinopteri, Pleuronectiformes, Pleuronectidae.
GGGAUCAGUUCACUCAUCCAAGGUGCAGACAAUUACAGCUGAGAGGAGGGAGGCAGGUUGUUCCAGUACCUCAGGGUCCUGACAGCAAAGGCCCCCGUCCCCUUUGGGUUUCAGCCGAGUCGCUGGAACGGGCAAAACACCUCUGAUCUCAAAGUGGGUGCUGGUGCAAGCUGCACUAAAAGUACGGACGUUUUGAAGAGCUGGAUACAGAUCCUUAUCUCAGCCUUGCUGCCAUGAAGUGAACAGCGGUACCUGCAGUGAUGGCUGAGCAAUUCUUAUUCAAGUGAAUAAGCAGCAUCUCUGUCCAGUUCUUAUAAAACCAUCGCUUAUCAUUCUGAAAUAUCGUGUCGUUCUUAUUUGCAGAUAAAGAUGGAAUUCUGAAAUGUUUUAUUGAUGUUUGUCUGUUUAGUUUUGUAUCUAUUGCAGAGAACAGUGUUUAAACUUCUUGGUUUUGGCACAGACUUGAGGCUGGAGCAGGCACAGACGGUCGGUGCUGCAGGGGGUCGUCUCAGGCUGUUAGACCAUGUUAAACCAUGUUAAACACCUGUUUGAGCCUCAGUAGUUGAGGUGAGAGCUUCAGUCCUGCAGUUUUUUCGUCUGUAGGAUCUGGAAUGACUAAAAAUCUACUGGAACACAAAUGUGCUUAUGUUCAGGGUCAUCAAUUUGAUGAACCUCUUUUUAGAAACCACAACAAAUCAUAAAAUAUUAGAUACUGACAUUUUAAACACAUUUAGCCGUCAUUGUUUCUGAUAAAGCUCAUUUCAAGAAUACUGUAUAUACAGUGUCUACUUCAAAUUCAUCUUAUCAUCUGUACAGUUUGUUUCUAAUUUUAGUAAAUUUAUUACAAAAUGUGUGAAGAAAGGUGAGAGAAUAAACUUGUUAAAGUAGCUCUGUGAAAAGCAUCAACAAGAGCUAAAUCUUUGUUGAAAUCAAGUAAACAACAACAAGUAAACAGUCAUGAGUCUUUCCACACGCGCACAAAUUUCCCCCUCAACAAGUCUCCAUGUGCACAUAAACAAGUUUCUUAUGUUUCAUAUUAACGUCUUUAACAACCUACAAUGACUUUUAGCAUCGCCAAGGAAGAUCAUUUACAGCACACACUUAAACACACACGCACACGCACGCACACGCGCACACGCACAUGCACACACACACAAACACUUCAGAAGUA